Molecule: ribosomal RNA, 600 nt
Filed under: uncultured Gemella clone MT12
Lineage: Bacteria; Bacillati; Bacillota; Bacilli; Caryophanales; Gemellaceae
Description: bacterial SSU rRNA
Rfam family: Bacterial small subunit ribosomal RNA
Source: RNAcentral
GACGAACGCUGGCGGCGUGCCUAAUACAUGCAAGUCGAGCGAAGUUUUUCUGGUGCUUGCACCGGAAAAACUUAGCGGCGAACGGGUGAGUAACACGUAAAGAACCUGCCUCAUAGACUGGGACAACUAUUGGAAACGAUAGCUAAUACCGGAUAACAGCAUUAACUGCAUGGUUGAUGUUUAAAAGUUGGUUUUGCUAACACUAUGAGAUGGCUUUGCGGUGCAUUAGCUAGUUGGUGGGGUAAAGGCCUACCAAGGCGACGAUGCAUAGCCGACCUGAGAGGGUGAUCGGCCACACUGGGACUGAGACACGGCCCAGACUCCUACGGGAGGCAGCAGUAGGGAAUCUUCCGCAAUGGGCGAAAGCCUGACGGAGCAACGCCGCGUGAGUGAAGAAGGAUUUCGGUUCGUAAAGCUCUGUUGUUAGGGAAGAAUGAUUGUGUAGUAACUAUACACAGUAGAGACGGUACCUAACCAGAAAGCCACGGCUAACUACGUGCCAGCAGCCGCGGUAAUACGUAGGUGGCAAGCGUUGUCCGGAAUUAUUGGGCGUAAAGCGCGCGCAGGUGGUUUAAUAAGUCUGAUGUGAAAGCCCACGGC